UAGGGAAUUUUCGGCAAUGGGGGAAACCCUGACCGAGCAAUGCCGCGUGAAUGAAGAAGGUCUUCGGACUGUAAAAUUCUGUUAUUUGUGGAAGAAAGGUAGUUGGAGGAAAUGCCAAUUACUUGACGGUACCAAAUGAGAAAGCCCCGGCUAACUAUGUGCCAGCAGCCGCGGUAAUACAUAGGGGGCGAGCGUUAUCCGGAAUUAUUGGGCGUAAAGCGUGCGUAGGUGGUCAGUUAAGUCUGGCGUGAAAUUCCCUGGCUUAACCAGGGGGGGUCGUUGGAAACUGGUUGACUUGAAUCCAGAAGGGGUAAGUGGAAUUCCAUGUGUAGCGGUAAAAUGCAUAGAGAUAUGGAGGAACACCAGUGGCGAAGGCGGCUUACUGGUCUGGGAUUGACACUGAGGCACGAAAGCGUGGGUAGCAAACAGG
RNAcentral lists this ribosomal RNA (430 nucleotides) under uncultured prokaryote. RNAcentral's name for it is "bacterial SSU rRNA". It matches the Rfam family "Bacterial small subunit ribosomal RNA", at positions 355 to 776 of the family's 1533-position model. The record is from RNAcentral. RNAcentral also lists the same sequence under 1 other name.